CUCUUCUUCUUCUUCUUCUUCUCUCCUUUCUUCUAUUUCCUUUUCCCCUUCCCUCUGUUUUUCUGUUUGGUUGUGACCAGGUCUCAACACUCCAUCACACUUUCUGUAGGAAAAGGACACUAGGGGAGGAGGAGGAGGAAAGUAUAAGCACCAUAUUCAACAUUAUGAGCCUGAAUCCUCCUAACAUUUUCUAUUUAAAUCCAAAAUAAGUUUAUAUUAAAAAC
This 224-nucleotide unclassified non-coding RNA is filed under the name Hevea brasiliensis (rubber tree). Lineage: Eukaryota; Viridiplantae; Streptophyta; Magnoliopsida; Malpighiales; Euphorbiaceae. The record is from RNAcentral.